This 476-nucleotide ribosomal RNA is filed under the name uncultured bacterium. Its description in RNAcentral is "bacterial SSU rRNA". It matches the Rfam family "Bacterial small subunit ribosomal RNA", at positions 28 to 533 of the family's 1533-position model. The record is from RNAcentral.
GAUGAACGCUGGCGGCGUGCCUAACACAUGCAAGUCGAGCGAUUCUCCUCGGAGAAGAGCGGCGGACGGGUGAGUAACGCGUGGGUAACCUGCCCUGUACACACGGAUAACAUACCGAAAGGUAUGCUAAUACGAGAUAAUAUGCUUUUAUCGCAUGGUAGAAGUAUCAAAGCUCCGGCGGUACAGGAUGGACCCGCGUCUGAUUAGCUAGUUGGUAAGGUAACGGCUUACCAAGGCGACGAUCAGUAGCCGACCUGAGAGGGUGAUCGGCCACAUUGGAACUGAGACACGGUCCAAACUCCUACGGGAGGCAGCAGUGGGGAAUAUUGCACAAUGGGCGAAAGCCUGAUGCAGCAACGCCGCGUGAGCGAUGAAGGCCUUCGGUCGUAAGCUCUGUCCUCAAGGAAGAUAAUGACGGUACUUGAGGAGGAAGCCCCGGCUAACUACGUGCCAGCAGCCGCGGUAACUGUAGUCGU